Molecule: long non-coding RNA, 5801 nt
Organism: Cavia porcellus (domestic guinea pig)
Lineage: Eukaryota; Metazoa; Chordata; Mammalia; Rodentia; Caviidae
Exons: 3
Source: RefSeq, a predicted model, not a curated record
CAGGACUUUGCACCGCGCAGCUGUUUACUCUUCAGGGCUCCUGCAGUUAAUCAUGAGUGAUGGGACCUUUUCUCCGGGUUUGGCUUGGGGGCCCAGAAUCUAGCUUACAUCACCACAGAGGAAGUGUAUCUAGCAAAGCUUCCUCUGCGAGUUUCUUCACCAGGGCACUUAUCUAGGGCACAGCCAGCCAGCCAGCGGGUGAAGAUAAAUAGACUCAGUGCGCCCUGAGGUACAGAAAAGAGAUUCGGGUGAGAGUCAGAAGAAAUGCGUUUUUAGCUUAGUGUUUGUUUCUAGCUUGUGUGCUUGGGGCUCAGUUUCGUCUAGUAAAUUCAGAGGGCUGAGGUAAGAUGCUUCGAGUUGCAAGUUCUGGUGUUUUUUCAGCUGUUUUGAGGGAAGAAAGAUAAUUUUCAUUCUCAUUAUAUAUGGAACAACUAGGGAAGAAAGAAAGAAGACCUUCUAUUCACCCCAUGUAAUCAAUAUUUCAUUUCAUCUUUUUUGUGCAGUACUGAGGAUUGAACCCAGGGCCUUCCCGCUGAGCUACAUUCACUGAACGCUUUUAUGUUUUAAUUUUGGGAGGAUCCUCAGCAGGUCACUAAGUUGCCCAGGCUAGGCUCAAUUUUGUGAUUAUCCUACCUCAGAUUGCCAGGGUGUGGAAUUACUGGCAUGUGCCACCAAGCCUGUCUUUUUUUUUAAAUUUCAUAAUACCAUAUGGGGGUCAAGUGUGUCAGGAGAAUAGCAGUGACUUGGAGGCCAGCUUGGGCUAUAAAAAGAGUUCGAGGCCAGCCUGAACUACAUGAUGAAACCCUGUCUUAGAUAAAACAAAUCAAAACAAUAUCAUGUGGAAAAUAGCCAUACUUCAGGGAUAAAAUUUCAUGUGAGACAGUGUACAUUAUCUUUUAUGUAGCAUUUGCUUCGCACUUGUACGUAAAGUAUUUUUGGCUGUUUCAUGUUAUUCCAGUUGUGCUAUGAUUCAUUUGGGUAGAGAGUUAGUUAAAGGAAAGGUGCAAGACUUUUCUGUCAUAGGCUGUGCAGUCAUUUUUUCUUUUUGAUUUUGCUAGUUCAAUUUUUGAAGUAACAGUCUGUGUCAAGGAGGAAGUCUUGAUAAAUUAUUAGAAUGCAUUUUCAUUGUCUUUCCCUGAAUAUUCAUUAUGUUGUGUUUACUAAGGAAAAAGACUGUGGGAAGCAGAUGCCCUAUAAUUUUGUGAAUAAUCAAAGAUAUAGAGAAGAGGCAAGUAAGAGAGAUACGGGGACCUCAGACAGAUGAGGGAGACUAAAGAGGAGAUGAAUGGAUUUACAAAAAGACACCACAUUCUAAGCUCAUUGGAUUAUGCUGUGGCUUUUUAUAGACCAGAACUCUCUGUGAUAGUUACCAUUUAUAUGGUGACUCCUAAAGAGUUUCAAACUUUUCCCAUAAAGGGUGAGGUAGUAACUAUGUUUUGUGGACUUUAUGGUUUUUCUUUUGAGUCCUCCCCUCUGUUUUUGUAACACAAAUACAGAUAUAAACAAUAUGUAAAUGAUAUAAACAAUAUGUAAAUGAAUGGGCAUGGUUUUUCAAUAGACUUUGUUUUCAGGAACAGAAAGCAAGCUGGAUCAGACCUGUUGGGUCACAGUUUGCUGCACCUUGGAACAGGCUUAUUGCAGCCCCACUAUCAACAUCAGUAUCAGCCACUGCACCCCUGUUAUUUAAUCUGUGGUAGAAUUGGGAUCAAGAGAAGAGGAAGACAGAAACUCAAGCACCUAUGGCCCACAAGCCAGCCUCAAACUUAUUUGUCAGAAAAAGACCAGUUUUUAAAAGAGAAAACUAUGAUAGUGUGAAGGUCAAGGCAGAAUGUUUCUUGAUCCCUCAGUUGUAACCCAAGUGUUUGUGUCUAGAGAAUAGAUUUCUUUUUAAAUUAUCAGCUCGCUUUUUUUUCCUUUUUCUUUGUGUUGGGCAUCAAACUCAUUACCACAUACUUGCCAGCAGAUGCUGUGCUGCUGAGCUACAUCCCCAGCCAGCUGCUUUUUAUUUUUUUCAAACUAUCAUAUUAGCUUUCUCAUGGUCAGGAUGAAAUACCUGAUACCCACAAUUUAAAGGAGGAGAGGAUUCAUUUGACUCACAGGUUUAGGAUUUCAGUCAAUGGUUAGCUGGCUGCGAGGCAGAAACAUCAUAGUGGAAGGGUAUGGUGGAACAAAGCUGUUCAGUUCAGGGUGAUCCAGAGGCAGAGGAGAGGAUUACUGGACAAGAGGAACUGUUUAGAGACCAUAGAUGGUACCCAAGGACCCACUUUCAUGACCCACCCAGGAGCAUGCUUCACCAGUAAUCCAGUAGGCAUUUCAUGAUCCAUUGAAGUUGAAAAAUCGAGAUUAACAGUCAAAACUACUUUAUGAAAAAAAUAAUUUGAAAUUAAAAUCAAACUCCUGAGGGUUUCUGAAUUGAAGUUCUCUUGGGAGCAUUCGAACAUUAAAGUUCUUUUUGAGGCACAUCUAUAGAAUAUUUUAGAAAUUCCAAGAUGUUGGCUAGCAAACAUUUUAAGCUAAGCCAUGACUCUUAGGUAAAGUGAUGCAUUUUGAGAAAUUCUUUGUGAAAAUGAGAGUAUGGAUACUUACCUCUUUAGUAUAACAAGAUCGACUCCAACUAAGUUGAGGUCACACCAGUGCUAUCAGAUCCAUUUUCUCUGUUUCUGCUUUUGAGACUAGGAUCCCCAGGAUCCUCUUGGGAUCAUUGAUGAGGUAAUGUCUUAGAAAAUUUAGGAGGUGGGUGAAGCUCUAAUCUUCUCUAACUGGUUUUUUUAUCUUUGUUUUUGACUCAAUUAUCCUUCCCACUGGAAGCCUAAGUAGAAGUGUAAUUCAUGAAUUUGAUUAUUCAAUAUUCUAGAAUCUAGUGAUGUUUUCUUUAAUUUUUGAAGUCUUAAGUAGAACCAUGCAUAUAAGCUGAGAUCUCAAGGUGAUGAAAGCAUCCAUUGUGCAAUAGCAUCUCUUUUUCUUUGAUGUUGCAUAAACUUUCUUCUUUGGCUUAGGGCCUUUUAAGAUAUAUGUAUUUUAUAUGGUGAAGAAGAAUCAUCAGCCAUAAACUUCUCAUCACAAAUUUGCUUAUGUCAUAGUGCAUCGAAACAAAGCUCUGUUAUUCUGAGGGAGAAUGAAGUCCUCAAAUGAAACUUUUAAAAAGAAGGAAUGAGUGGUAUUCUCUCUUUUACUACCUAUUUUUCCCUUUUGUCUCAGUAUCAAAUAUAAUGAAUCUUUUCUGGAGCCUAUAACAAACUCAGUGUGCUCUAGGAACAUGCUGAUUAAUACAUGAUUAAAAAAGAAUCAGUUGUCUCAUUUUCUCAUGUUGUAUGUUUAGCACAUGUGGUUACUUUUUUGUCCUCCUUCACAGUGCUAGGUAUAGAACUCAGGGCCCAUGCCUGACACGGAAGUGCUGUGCUGCUGAGCUAUAUCCCCAGCCUAACCAGUGUGUGUUACUUUGAUGCUAAAGAAAUUUUAGUAAUAUGAAUAAUAGACUACAAUUAUUGGUUAAAAGAUCUUUCCUGAUUAAAACAAAAAGAUCUUUCCUGAUUUUACAUAUAUAUAUAUGAUUCCAAAGACUAUAUGAAAUUUAUUUGAUCUUGUGACAUAAUGUAUUUAAAGAUAGAGUAAUUUUUAUAGAAAGAAAACAAGCACUAGUUCCCAUGUCUGAUUUAUAGUUAUUUCCCUUUCAUCCUCUUUUCUCUAUUAAGGAAAUUGGUUCCAUGACUAAAAGGUGGAUGUUGAGAUGGUGCACCACAGGGAUGUGUAGACUGACUUGUCCUCAAGGAAGAACUCUGUCCAUAAAGAGUGUUUUCUAGACUACCGUGGCUUUCCCUUUGAGUCAGGAGAGUGAACCCUGGCUAACACAACACCAUGCAGCCAGGAAAAAGGGCGCUACUUCAACCAGAAGGAGCCCAUGAAUGUGCCUUAUGCCAAUCCUGUGUUAACAGUUCAUUACAUAUUCUGGAUGAGAAAAAAAUCUAUAAGAUAAUCACUAAUUUGUAAGGAAUAUGUAUAUUUUUUAAUUUUGGGAAAUUCUUCAAAAUAGGAUGACCUGGGUAAUGGUUGCCAAAGAAAGGGAUUUAGAGAUAUUUGACCAAAGAAGGUUGUAAAGCAAAUGUUAAAAAACCUGCCAAUCUCCAGUCACUGUUGGGAAAUGUGGGCACAGGAAGCAGUUUCAUAGAAACUGUUGAGAAGGUGUCUCAGGAUAUCUGACCUCAGCAGAAGCCAGCCAGAACCUGGAUGGUUAGGAUGUCUGCUUAGAUGUAUGAGGAGGAAGUAAUUAUGCAGACACAGUAAAUUGGCUUAGUUCUGGUUGAGGUACGCACUCACGGUGCGUUUCUUGAUGUCUAAUCCUCAGUUUCUUUAUCUGUAAUGACCAUAAUCAACACCUCGCCUGCUUACUGUAAGAACUCUUUGCAGAAUGCAGUGAGGUAGUGUCUGAGAAAGCAUGCUGAGACACACACAACCUCCAGGAGGGAAAACCUUUCCUCUACCCUUUUAUAUUCAGGACAGGGGGACCUGAGAAUGCAAGUGACAGAAGAUGAGCAGGACAAAGGCAUGUGAUUUUUAUUAGUAUUUACAUGCAUGAUGCUCACAGAAAAGAAAUGGUGAGUUUUGAGGCUUAUAUAUCCUUUCAACAAAGGAAGAUGGUUUGGGAGUCAAAGGAUGAUAAAUUCUGCAAAGUAACUAGGAAAUACACAGCAGGGACUAAUGAGAGAUAAAAAUUAUUUUGUGCAAACUUGUUUGGGAGUUGGCUCCUCCACCCUGGUAACUGGAGAUACUCAUCCCUGCCUUUGAAGAAAAGGGGUGCUGGUGGAGGUGCACCUGCAGAGAGAAAGGGGUUCUCUGCUUUUAUGCAGAAACUUUCAUACACCUGUAACCCAGCACGCAGAGAACUGAGGCCAAAGGAUCUCAAGUUCGAGUCCAGCCUCUGAUACAUGGGUAGGUGGAGCUGGAGCUGGAACCCAGCAUUCUAGUACCUUAGGCAAGUACUCUACCACUGAGGCACAUCUUCAGCCCACAUUAAUUGAAUUUUUUACAUUUCGAGACAGGAUCUUGCUAAGUUGUCAAGACCUUAAAUUUGUAGUCUUACCUAAGCCUCCUGAGUAAUUGGGGCUUAUGGGCUUGCAUGGUCAUGCUGAGCCAUGCAUUCUUUAUCAUUGUGUUUCUUAUAUGUUUUGUUUGACGCUUUUGUUUAAAUUUAGCCUUCUAGAGUAUUAGUAGCAUGGUCAACAAUUAUUAAUUAGAUGGGCAAAGGAAAUGUAAUUUCUGUAUUUUUCACAUCUGAGCUAAAUGCCUUCAUGAAUUCUUACCUGGAUAGAAAGAAGACAAUUGGCAUUUGGUAGUUAACUGCAUCUUAGUGUCUCUUGGAUUAAUUAGGUAUUUUGGGGUAUGUGCUUCGGUGUUUUAGAUUUCCUUUGCUCUCCCUGCAUCUGCUCAUGAUAGCACAUUGAUAUGCAAGACUGGUUUACACAUUACUGCAGGAUCUGUCAGCACUCUGUAUACUUUUGAUCUCUGUGACAGGAUGUCUGUUGAGGUACAAUGGAAUCUAUCAGGGCUUUUGGGUUGAGAAUUAUUAAUAUUCUGUGGCCUCUAUCUUUCUGAUUCUGGAUCUGUGUUUGUUCUGCUUGUUUGGGUGCUCUAGUGGGGUAUGUAUCCCUUCUGGGUUCCUUGCAUGCUCUACACAGGUGUCGAGGAACUGCUCGCUCCUCAGGUACAUGGGCCUAGAUCCUUCCCUGUGUUAGACCAUCAUGCCAAGCAUCAUACGGGCAUGACACUAAGCCGAGGGGAUGGUUUUCUCUUGAGGAUUUUAGGUU